UGUCGCUCUCCAUUAAUGUGUUGAGGGCCUGGUGUCAGGAGGCAUUUGAUAGUUAAUUCAGGCUGGCUAUGUGCUGAAAGCUCAGAUGCCGAACUCAAUUCUAGCAGUUAGAUCUUUUGAAUAUCUUCCUGCUGUGACACUCAGCUAACUCUGCAUCUUCAUCUCAAAUGAUGAUUUCCAGUUUGCCGGGCAAGUAUGUGUUGACUCAGGACGUGGUGGAACGUACCAGUCCUUGAGACUGGUGGUUAGAGAAUCGGAACAGGAGGCUUAGUGUGUGUUUAUGAGACCUUUUACCAUUGUACGUCUUCAAGCACUUGACUGGCAUGACAGUUAAAAGUUAUGAUGAAUUAAAAGUUAUGACAGUUAAAAGUUAAAAGUCAUGAUGGCUUUAAUUCAGGAACAAGAAAUUCUGUCUCUGAAAUUCUUGUUCUGAUCUUAGGGCAUUCGAAUAGGAUCAAAAUUCUCAAGAUAUGAAAUUUGACCCACU
Molecule: long non-coding RNA, 487 nt
Filed under: Bos taurus (domestic cattle)
Lineage: Eukaryota; Metazoa; Chordata; Mammalia; Artiodactyla; Bovidae
Description: long non-coding RNA NONBTAT023814
Source: RNAcentral